This 212-nucleotide unclassified non-coding RNA is filed under the name plant metagenome. RNAcentral describes it as "partial contains small subunit ribosomal RNA, internal transcribed spacer 1, and 5.8S ribosomal RNA". The record is from RNAcentral.
UUUCCGUAGGUGAACCUGCGGAAGGAUCAUUCAUAAUAAAGUGUUUUACGGCACUUUUUAAAAAUCCAUAUCCACCUUGUGUGCAAUGUUAGAUCUCGUCAAUCUUGGCGAGGUUUUUAUACAUCAACUCAUUCUUUAACUAAUUUGUCUGAAAAAUAUUAUGAAUAAAACAAUUCAAAAUACAACUUUCAACAACGGAUCUCUUGGCUCUC